AGUGAAUGCUGGCGGUAGGCCUAACACAUGCAAGUCGAACGGCAGCACAGUAAGAGCUUGCUCUUACGGGUGGCGAGUGGCGGACGGGUGAGGAAUACAUCGGAAUCUACUUUUUCGUGGGGGAUAACGUAGGGAAACUUACGCUAAUACCGCAUACGACCUACGGGUGAAAGCAGGGGAUCUUCGGACCUUGCGCGAUUGAAUGAGCCGAUGUCGGAUUAGCUAGUUGGCGGGGUAAAGGCCCACCAAGGCGACGAUCCGUAGCUGGUCUGAGAGGAUGAUCAGCCACACUGGAACUGAGACACGGUCCAGACUCCUACGGGAGGCAGCAGUGGGGAAUAUUGGACAAUGGGCUCAAUCCUGAUCCAGCCAUACCGCGUGGGUGAAGAAGGCCUUCGGGUUGUAAAGCCCUUUUGUUGGGAAAGAAAAGCAGCAGGUUAAUACCCCGCUGUUCUGACGGUACCCAAAGAAUAAGCACCGGCUAACUUCGUG
RNAcentral lists this ribosomal RNA (492 nucleotides) under uncultured bacterium. RNAcentral describes it as "partial 16S ribosomal RNA". It matches the Rfam family "Bacterial small subunit ribosomal RNA", at positions 29 to 507 of the family's 1533-position model. The record is from RNAcentral.